UCCGUAGGUGAACCUGCGGAAGGAUCAUUAUUA
Molecule: ribosomal RNA, 33 nt
Filed under: Cronartium flaccidum
Lineage: Eukaryota; Fungi; Basidiomycota; Pucciniomycetes; Pucciniales; Coleosporiaceae
Also listed under: 1 other name
Description: partial 18S ribosomal RNA
Source: RNAcentral